This is a long non-coding RNA of Corylus avellana, 428 nucleotides long. RefSeq lists it as uncharacterized. The record is from RefSeq and is a predicted model, not a curated record. Lineage: Eukaryota; Viridiplantae; Streptophyta; Magnoliopsida; Fagales; Betulaceae.
AUCAUUAUAAAUACUCUCAAACCCUUAGACGAUUUUAGCGUCUAGCCCACUUGCCUUUUGAGCAGAUUAGGGUUUCAGAAGCGAGGUAGCGAGGAGAACAAAGGAGCCGAAUCACCAUGCGUGCGAAGUGGAAGAAGAAGCGUAUGAGGAGGUUGAAGAGGAAGCGCCGAAAGAUGAGGCAGAGAUCCAAGUAGUUCUUCUACCAUCAAUAAAUCGUCGUUGUUUUGUUGUCUAAUCGCUUACUGAUUAGAGAGUCGUAGCGUAUUUUGUUUUUUUUUUUUUUCUUAUGUUUGGAUUAAAGGUCUGAAAACCGCAUUUAUGUUACUGCUUAAUGAGAUUUCGUAUUGCACUAUUAAAUUUGAAGCUUAUAGUGAUGUGGAAAUUGGCUAUUCGCUAUUUAUAUUUAAUGUUUGUGAUGUUCUGGAUUU